This 253-nucleotide ribosomal RNA is filed under the name uncultured bacterium. RNAcentral's name for it is "partial 16S ribosomal RNA". It matches the Rfam family "Bacterial small subunit ribosomal RNA", at positions 524 to 776 of the family's 1533-position model. The record is from RNAcentral.
UACGGAGGGGGCGAGCGUUAUUCGGAAUUAUUGGGCGUAAAGGGCGCGUAGGCGGCUUUCUAAGUCAAAGGUGAAAUCCCUCGGCUCAACUGAGGAACUGCCUUUGAAACUGGACGGCUUGAGGCCGGGAGAGGGUAGCGGAAUUCCCAGUGUAGCGGUGAAAUGCGUAGAUACUGGGAGGAACACCGGUGGCGAAGGCGGCUACCUGGACGAAUACUGACGCUGAGACACGAAAGCGUGGGGAGCAAACAGG